This 155-nucleotide ribosomal RNA is filed under the name Musa acuminata x Musa textilis. RNAcentral describes it as "5.8S ribosomal RNA". It matches the Rfam family "5.8S ribosomal RNA". Rfam says of the family: 5.8S ribosomal RNA (5.8S rRNA) is a component of the large subunit of the eukaryotic ribosome. Lineage: Eukaryota; Viridiplantae; Streptophyta; Magnoliopsida; Zingiberales; Musaceae. The record is from RNAcentral.
CUCUCGGCAACGGAUAUCUCGGCUCUCGCAUCGAUGAAGAACGUAGUGAAAUGCGAUACCUGGUGUGAAUUGCAGAAUCCCGUGAACCAUCGAGUCUUUGAACGCAAGUUGCGCCCGAGGCCAUCCGGCUAAGGGCAUGCCUGCCUGGGCGUCAC